AUCUCAGAAACCGCAAGGGCAAGUUCAGUUCAAGGACCAUGACCACGAAGAGACUUCUGGAGUUAGUUAGUAGCUAAUAGUUUGUAGACUCAAAUAGAACAUGCAUCCACUAGAAUUGUGGGGAUAUUCUAUUUCCAGAAACUCCCUAGCUUGAUGAACAGGGUCUGUGAUUGCUCCAGACCCCAAGGCAAGCCCCAGGCCCUGCAAUUUUGCUGAGAGGAAGUGGCCACUCAACCAACCCCUGGUGGGGAGUCUUCCAUCCCCCAAACCGCCCCCAGAAAUGGCCGUGGAAAUCCUCAGCAAGGGUGUCCUAGUAGUUGAGAUAGACCCCAACCCAGGCUGGCCAAUCAAGUCCCUGUUUCUCUAUCCAGAGGGAUUGGUUCGAUUAUGGACAUGGGACCUAAGCAGGGCCAAUCAUAAUUGACAGAUGAGUAUUGGAUAAGAAGGGUCCUCUUUAUCCAGAAAAUGCUGAAAGAGUAAAAGCAACUUCAAAUUCAGCAGUAGGCCCUCUUUUCUUACAGACUCUUCAGUCCUCCCAUCAGAGAUUUGUCACUAGUUGUUUCCACCCAUGAAAGUCUGGAGCCUCAGACCAUCAGUUUUCCUUUGACCUACGGCAUGAGUUAUUUAGACGAUCUGUUUUAAUUUUCAAAUCUUUGGAUUUUUUGUUGUUACUGAUUAACUUCAUUGUUCUUGCUAGACAAUGGGAUCUGUACGAAUCUAUGUGAUCCGUAUGUUUGAUGCUUUCAACCUUCUUUAGAUUUGCUUUAUAUACUUGUAGGUGAUUGAUUUUUACGGGAUAUAUCUUGGGUGCUUGAAAAGAAUGUUUUCCUAACUUGAUUUGUGCAGAGUUCUAUGUAAGUCAAGCAUUAUUUGUGUUGUUCAAAUCAUCAAUAUUCUCACUAACUUCUGUUUUUUAUCUGCCUGGUCUGUAAAUUACACACAGGUGUAUUAACAUAUCCCAUUAUGAUCAUGAAUGAGCUAAUUUCUCCUUGCUUUUAUAAUUUUUUCUCUUUUUUAAAAAAAAAAUCAACAAUUUUUUAGAGAAGUUUUAAAUGCACAGCAAAACUGAGCAGAAGGUAAAGGGGUUUUCCAUAUACUCACUGACCCCACACAUGCACAGCCACCCCCAAUAUCAGCACCCCCCCACCAGAGGGGUACAAUUAUUGAUUUUAUGCUGAUGUGUUUACAUUAGUUCUCUCUUAUUGGUCUACAUUCUAUGGGUUUGGAUAAAUGUAUAAUGAUAUGUAUCUACCCUUAUGGUAUCUGAUAGAGUAGUUUGACUGUCCUGAAAAUCCUCUGUGUUCCAACCUGUUUAUCCCCCCAUCACCCCCAGCUCCUGGAAACCAGUGAU
This is a long non-coding RNA of Pipistrellus kuhlii (Kuhl's pipistrelle), 1351 nucleotides long. RefSeq lists it as uncharacterized. The transcript is spliced from 3 exons. NCBI's taxonomy places the organism in Eukaryota, Metazoa, Chordata, Mammalia, Chiroptera, Vespertilionidae. The record is from RefSeq and is a predicted model, not a curated record.